AACCUAGCACACCUGCGGUGUGUACCUGCGGAAGGAUCAUUACCGAGUUAUACAACUCAUCAACCCUGUGAACAUACCUAUAACGUUGCCUCGGCGGGAACAGACGGCCCCGUAACACGGGCCGCCCCCGCCAGAGGACCCCCUAACUCUGUUUCUAUAAUGUUUCUUCUGAGUAAACAAGCAAAUAAAUUAAAACUUUCAACAACGGAUCU
Molecule: unclassified non-coding RNA, 212 nt
Filed under: soil metagenome
Description: partial contains 5.8S ribosomal RNA, internal transcribed spacer 2, and large subunit ribosomal RNA
Source: RNAcentral